UGGGGAGGGGGGGCGUCUGCGCAUGCGCCAGCGCCGACCGGCCUGAUGGGGAACUUCCUACCGGAGCCCAGCCUGGGCAGCUGAGACCUUUCAGCGUUUGUAGCUACCAGCCCCGAAACACAAGGCAGGCGCGCGCUGAUGCUACGAACCGGGGGACGUCGAGGAGCGCGACGAAGGGCCCUAGCGGCCUGCAGGACACAGGGCUGACCUUGAAGACUGAAGCCAGAGGAAAGGGAGUGGGAAGAGCGGAGCGCAGCGCCGGCGCUUCGUGCCAAGCACGGCGAUUGCUGCUGCGAAAGGCCCACGUAGAUUCCUAGAUGGCGGUUGAAGUUAAUCGGUUUUACUUUGCAAUUGGCCUCAGCUAGAGGACACGCUCAGGCACCACACCAGAUGGGAACAGUGACAAUUUGUGUCCCUCUUCUGAGACUAAAUCACAGCUUAAUCCAACGAUGAGAUGAUUUGCUUGAACAGUGGUGAUCUGAGCUGCGACAGUUGAAUGCUUGUGUACAUUUACAUCUAAAAUAAGCAUAAACCAACAUCAUACUUGACUGUAUUGUGUUUCCCACAACAAUUACAUUAAAAUAUAUCUGCUGAA
Rhea pennata is the source of this 595-nucleotide long non-coding RNA. RefSeq lists it as uncharacterized. The transcript is spliced from 2 exons. NCBI's taxonomy places the organism in Eukaryota, Metazoa, Chordata, Aves, Rheiformes, Rheidae. The record is from RefSeq and is a predicted model, not a curated record.